CUGACACAAUCCGCCUGGGAAAUCUGCCGACGGGUUCCUUCUCCUCCUCUCCACCUAGCUCGUCAGCUCCUCGCCAGACUAUCUAUGAGCUCUGCGUCUGUCCUAAUGUUCUGCUCGGUUUCCCUUGUGACAAGUUCGACGCUUCAAAUGGCCUGCAGAGCAACUUCUUCCAGUGUAAGCAGGAAUACAGCGCUGCCUUCCCUCGUGGUUCAUGGUACCACUCAGCGUAGAGAUGGGAGUCAGAUAUUCAGCAUGUAUUCUUCAUCAGGAAACCUGGAUCAUAAUAUCACCUUUUGUCCAAAAGGGAGAAUAACACAGGUGCCUUUGCUACAUGAAGUGAAGCACAUAGUUUUAGAUUUUUGCAGGACCUGGAUAUGAACUGCACAUAUAUAUACAGUACAUAUACAAAUUUGCCCAGAUUCCAAUGGUGAGAUGAAUUGGUAAUCCCUGUAUGUUAAAUAACUUUACUGUCUGAAAGCACAAUUUUCCAUUCAUCUUUUUGGAUGUAAACUUUUAUCCCUGAAUUUUAAAAUUUUGAAGCAUUGUGUGAUGCUUGCUUUACUAAACAAUUAAAUUCAGUAAAUGGUUUUUAACACAAAAAGAGACAGAAUCCCUCACUCAGUUUGGUUUCUUUAAAAGUGUGUUGUUAUUCUUCGUCUACUAGGUCUAGGGUUUUGUACACUAGGUAAAUUUUGGAAGUGCUCAGCAAUAUUAUCUUUCAGAGCUAAAAAGACAUCCGCUCUUGUCUGUCAGAUCUGAAUGGUCUUAUGUAGUAAUGUCGUGGCUACUGCAUGUGAAGCGAUUGCUUUAAAUAGAACACACGGGUCUGGAAAAGAAGAACGGGGCAAAGGGAAAAUACUGGCAGGAUGUUUCUUGAUCCGUUUGUUGUUCUCCACAAGGUAUUUAUAAUUGGCAAAAGCAAA
Tinamus guttatus (white-throated tinamou) is the source of this 923-nucleotide non-coding RNA. Lineage: Eukaryota; Metazoa; Chordata; Aves; Tinamiformes; Tinamidae. The record is from RefSeq and is a predicted model, not a curated record.